AGACCCGAAACCCGGUGAUCUAGCCAUGGGCAGGUUGAAGGUUGGGUAACACUAACUGGAGGACCGAACCGACUAAUGUUGAAAAAUUAGCGGAUGACCUGUGGCUGGGGGUGAAAGGCCAAUCAAACCGGGAGAUAGCUGGUUCUCCCCGAAAGCUAUUUAGGUAGCGCCUCGUGAAUUCAUCUCCGGGGGUAGAGCACUGUUUCGGCCAGGGGGCCAUCCCGGCUUACCAACCCGAUGCAAACUGCGAAUACCGGAGAAUGUUAUCACGGGAGACACACGGCGGGUGCUAACGUCCGUCGUGAAGAGGGAAACAACCCAGACCGCCAGCUAAGGUCCCAAAGUCAUGGUUAAGUGGGAAACGAUGUGGGAAGGCCCAGACAGCCAGGAUGUUGGCUUAGAAGCAGCCAUCAUUUAAAGAAAGCGUAAUAGCUCACUGGUCGAGUCGGCCUGCGCGGAAGAUGUAACGGGGCUAAACCAUGCACCGAAGCUGCGGCAGCGAACGUAUCACCCAAGACAACUUUGCACAGUUGACGAUUGACGGAGCGAAGCGACGUCAAAGCGUUUUACAACGUCGAGUUGGCUUAGGGAUACGUUCGUUGGGUAGGGGAGCGUUCUGUAAGCCUGUGAAGGUGUGUCGUGAGGCAUGCUGGAGGUAUCAGAAGUGCGAAUGCUGACAUAAGUAACGAUAAAGCGGGUGAAAAGCCCGCUCGCCGGAAGACCAAGGGUUCCUGUCCAACGUUAAUCGGGGCAGGGUGAGUCGACCCCUAAGGCGAGGCCGAAAGGCGUAGUCGAUGGGAAACGGGUUAAUAUUCCCGUACUUGGUGUUACUGCGAAGGGGGGACGGAGAAGGCUAUGUUGGCCGGGCGACGGUUGUCCCGGUUUAAGCGUGUAGGCUGGUUUUCCAGGCAAAUCCGGAAAAUCAAGGCUGAGGCGUGACGACGAGGCACUACGGUGCUGAAGCAACAAAUGCCCUGCUUCCAGGAAAAGCCUCUAAGCAUCAGGUAACAUCAAAUCGUACCCCAAACCGACACAGGUGGUCAGGUAGAGAAUACCAAGGCGCUUGAGAGAACUCGGGUGAAGGAACUAGGCAAAAUGGUGCCGUAACUUCGGGAGAAGGCACGCUGACACGUAGGUGAAGUGAUUUACUCAUGGAGCUGAAGUCAGUCGAAGAUACCAGCUGGCUGCAACUGUUUAUUAAAAACACAGCACUGUGCAAACACGAAAGUGGACGUAUACGGUGUGACGCCUGCCCGGUGCCGGAAGGUUAAUUGAUGGGGUCAGCGCAAGCGAAGCUCCUGAUCGAAGCCCCGGUAAACGGCGGCCGUAACUAUAACGGUCCUAAGGUAGCGAAAUUCCUUGUCGGGUAAGUUCCGACCUGCACGAAUGGCGUAAUGAUGGCCAGGCUGUCUCCACCCGAGACUCAGUGAAAUUGAACUCGCUGUGAAGAUGCAGUGUACCCGCGGCAAGACGGAAAGACCCCGUGAACCUUUACUAUAGCUUGACACUGAACAUUGAGCCUUGAUGUGUAGGAUAGGUGGGAGGCUUUGAAGCGUGGACGCCAGUCUGCGUGGAGCCGGCCUUGAAAUACCACCCUUUAAUGUUUGAUGUUCUAACGUGGACCCGUAAUCCGGGUUGCGGACAGUGUCUGGUGGGUAGUUUGACUGGGGCGGUCUCCUCCUAAAGAGUAACGGAGGAGCACGAAGGUUGGCUAAUCCUGGUCGGACAUCAGGAGGUUAGUGCAAUGGCAUAAGCCAGCUUGACUGCGAGCGUGACGGCGCGAGCAGGUGCGAAAGCAGGUCAUAGUGAUCCGGUGGUUCUGAAUGGAAGGGCCAUCGCUCAACGGAUAAAAGGUACUCCGGGGAUAACAGGCUGAUACCGCCCAAGAGUUCAUAUCGACGGCGGUGUUUGGCACCUCGAUGUCGGCUCAUCACAUCCUGGGGCUGAAGUAGGUCCCAAGGGUAUGGCUGUUCGCCAUUUAAAGUGGUACGCGAGCUGGGUUUAGAACGUCGUGAGACAGUUCGGUCC
This 2028-nucleotide ribosomal RNA is filed under the name Salmonella enterica subsp. enterica serovar Kambole. RNAcentral's name for it is "partial 23S ribosomal RNA". It matches the Rfam family "Bacterial large subunit ribosomal RNA", at positions 711 to 2637 of the family's 2925-position model. Lineage: Bacteria; Pseudomonadati; Pseudomonadota; Gammaproteobacteria; Enterobacterales; Enterobacteriaceae. The record is from RNAcentral.